This 468-nucleotide ribosomal RNA is filed under the name uncultured bacterium. RNAcentral's name for it is "partial 16S ribosomal RNA". It matches the Rfam family "Bacterial small subunit ribosomal RNA", at positions 28 to 507 of the family's 1533-position model. The record is from RNAcentral.
GACGAACGCUGGCGGCGUGCUUAACACAUGCCAGUCGAACGGAAAGGCCCUGCUUUUGUGGGGUGCUCGAGUGGCGAACGGGUGAGUAACACGUGAGUAACCUGCCCUUGACUUUGGGAUAACUUCAGGAAACUGGGGCUAAUACCGGAUAGGAGCUCCUGCUGCAUGGUGGGGGUUGGAAAGUUUCGGCGGUUGGGGAUGGACUCGCGGGUUAUCAGCUUGUUGGUGGGGUAGUUGCUUACCAAGGCUUUGACGGGUAGCCGGCCUGAGAGGGUGACCGGCGACAUUGGGACUGAGAGACGGCCCAGACUGCUACGGGAGGCAGCAGUGGGGAAUAUGGCACAAUGGGCGGAAGCCUGAUGAAGCAACGCCGCGUGCGGGAUGACGGCCUUCGGGUUGGAAACCGCUUUAGCCUGUGACGAAGCGUGAGUGACGGUAAUGGGUAAAGAAGCACCGGCUAACUACGUG